UGGGAAGGGAAAGAGGCCCGGCAAGGGUGGGAAUCGGUUCUGGAAGAGUGUUGGUCUUGGUUUUAAGACUCCCCGUGAUGCAAUCGAUGGGACCUACAUUGACAAGAAAUGCCCGUUCACUGGCAAUGUAUCUAUCAGGGGGCGUAUCCUAGCAGGCACUUGCCACAGUGCCAAAAUGAACCGCACCAUCAUUGUGCGCCGGAACUACCUUCACUAUGUGAAGAAGUAUCAAAGGUAUGAGAAGAGGCACUCCAACAUCCCUGCUCAUGUAUCGCCCUGCUUUCGUGUGAAAGAAGGAGACCAUGUUAUCAUUGGCCAGUGCAGGCCAUUGGCGAAGACAGUGAGGUUCAAUGUGUUGAAAGUCAUUCCAGCAGGAUCGACUGGCGGGGCUGGGAAGAAAGCUUUUGCUGCAGUCUGAUGAAGUUAAAGGGAAUUUGCGGUCGCAUGGCUGAUAAUUUGAGGUUUUGCUCUUAAUUUAAGAGAGAACAAAGAGAACAAUGUUGUUUAAUUGUUGUUUCGACAGUUACUUUUCAUCUGGUUUGAGUACUAGUUGUCCAAUGAACAUUUUUCUAGCCUGCUAUUUGUUGGAUGAG
This 593-nucleotide unclassified non-coding RNA is filed under the name Hevea brasiliensis (rubber tree). The record is from RNAcentral. Lineage: Eukaryota; Viridiplantae; Streptophyta; Magnoliopsida; Malpighiales; Euphorbiaceae.